AGCGAACGCUGGCGGCAGGCCUAACACAUGCAAGUCGAACGAACCUUUCGGGGUUAGUGGCGGACGGGUGAGUAACACGUGGGAACGUGCCUUUAGGUUCGGAAUAACUCAGGGAAACUUGUGCUAAUACCGAAUGUGCCCUUCGGGGGAAAGAUUUAUCGCCUUUAGAGCGGCCCGCGUCUGAUUAGCUAGUUGGUUGAGGUAAUGGCUCACCAAGGCGACGAUCAGUAGCUGGUCUGAGAGGAUGAUCAGCCACAUUGGGACUGAGACACGGCCCAAACUCCUACGGGAGGCAGCAGUGGGGAAUCUUGCGCAAUGGGCGAAAGCCUGACGCAGCCAUGCCGCGUGAAUGAUGAAGGUCUUAGGAUUGUAAAAUUCUUUCACCGGGGACGAUAAUGACGGUACCCGGAGAAGAAGCCCCGACUAACUUCGUG
This 434-nucleotide ribosomal RNA is filed under the name uncultured bacterium. RNAcentral's name for it is "partial 16S ribosomal RNA". It matches the Rfam family "Bacterial small subunit ribosomal RNA", at positions 29 to 507 of the family's 1533-position model. The record is from RNAcentral.